This 367-nucleotide ribosomal RNA is filed under the name uncultured eukaryote. Its description in RNAcentral is "partial 18S ribosomal RNA". It matches the Rfam family "Eukaryotic small subunit ribosomal RNA", at positions 592 to 976 of the family's 1831-position model. The record is from RNAcentral.
CAAUAGCGUAUAUUAAAGUUGUUGCAGUUAAAAAGCUCGUAGUUGAAUUUCUGGCCGGUCUCGUUCACGGCAUUAGUCGGCUCGUAGGCCUGGUCAUCCGUAGGGGAACCGUAUGCGGUCUUCAGUGGUCGGUGCGCGGAACCUACAUUUUACUGUGAAAAAAUUAGAGUGCUCCAGGCAGGCAAUCGCUUGGAUACUCCAGCAUGGAAUAAUGGAAUAGGACUCUGGACUAUUCGUUGGUUUGAGUACAGAGUAAUGAUUAAUAGGGACAGUUGGGGGCAUUCGUAUUUAAUUGUCAGAGGUGAAAUUCUUGGAUUUAUUAAAGACGAACUUAUGCGAAAGCAUUUGCCAAGGAUGUUUUCAUUAA